This 1322-nucleotide ribosomal RNA is filed under the name Bacillus amyloliquefaciens. Its description in RNAcentral is "bacterial SSU rRNA". It matches the Rfam family "Bacterial small subunit ribosomal RNA", at positions 94 to 1403 of the family's 1533-position model. The record is from RNAcentral. Lineage: Bacteria; Bacillati; Bacillota; Bacilli; Caryophanales; Bacillaceae.
AGCGGCGGAGGGUGAGUAACACGUGGGUAACCUGCCUGUAAGACUGGGAUAACUCCGGGAAACCGGGGCUAAUACCGGAUGGUUGUUUGAACCGCAUGGUUCAGACAUAAAAGGUGGCUUCGGCUACCACUUACAGAUGGACCCGCGGCGCAUUAGCUAGUUGGUGAGGUAACGGCUCACCAAGGCGACGAUGCGUAGCCGACCUGAGAGGGUGAUCGGCCACACUGGGACUGAGACACGGCCCAGACUCCUACGGGAGGCAGCAGUAGGGAAUCUUCCGCAAUGGACGAAAGUCUGACGGAGCAACGCCGCGUGAGUGAUGAAGGUUUUCGGAUCGUAAAGCUCUGUUGUUAGGGAAGAACAAGUGCCGUUCAAAUAGGGCGGCACCUUGACGGUACCUAACCAGAAAGCCACGGCUAACUACGUGCCAGCAGCCGCGGUAAUACGUAGGUGGCAAGCGUUGUCCGGAAUUAUUGGGCGUAAAGGGCUCGCAGGCGGUUUCUUAAGUCUGAUGUGAAAGCCCCCGGCUCAACCGGGGAGGGUCAUUGGAAACUGGGGAACUUGAGUGCAGAAGAGGAGAGUGGAAUUCCACGUGUAGCGGUGAAAUGCGUAGAGAUGUGGAGGAACACCAGUGGCGAAGGCGACUCUCUGGUCUGUAACUGACGCUGAGGAGCGAAAGCGUGGGGAGCGAACAGGAUUAGAUACCCUGGUAGUCCACGCCGUAAACGAUGAGUGCUAAGUGUUAGGGGGUUUCCGCCCCUUAGUGCUGCAGCUAACGCAUUAAGCACUCCGCCUGGGGAGUACGGUCGCAAGACUGAAACUCAAAGGAAUUGACGGGGGCCCGCACAAGCGGUGGAGCAUGUGGUUUAAUUCGAAGCAACGCGAAGAACCUUACCAGGUCUUGACAUCCUCUGACAAUCCUAGAGAUAGGACGUCCCCUUCGGGGGCAGAGUGACAGGUGGUGCAUGGUUGUCGUCAGCUCGUGUCGUGAGAUGUUGGGUUAAGUCCCGCAACGAGCGCAACCCUUGAUCUUAGUUGCCAGCAUUCAGUUGGGCACUCUAAGGUGACUGCCGGUGACAAACCGGAGGAAGGUGGGGAUGACGUCAAAUCAUCAUGCCCCUUAUGACCUGGGCUACACACGUGCUACAAUGGACAGAACAAAGGGCAGCGAAACCGCGAGGUUAAGCCAAUCCCACAAAUCUGUUCUCAGUUCGGAUCGCAGUCUGCAACUCGACUGCGUGAAGCUGGAAUCGCUAGUAAUCGCGGAUCAGCAUGCCSCGGUGAAUACGUUCCCGGGCCUUGUACACACCGCCCGUCACUCC